The sequence is a small nuclear RNA, 171 nucleotides long. Its record names the gene U1. It matches the Rfam family "U1 spliceosomal RNA". Rfam says of the family: U1 is a small nuclear RNA (snRNA) component of the spliceosome (involved in pre-mRNA splicing). Its 5' end forms complementary base pairs with the 5' splice junction, thus defining the 5' donor site of an intron. The record is from Ensembl.
UGACGUACCUGGCAGGGAAAAUACCGUGAUCAAGAAGGCGGUUCAGCCAGAGUGAGGUUCAGCCAUUGCACUCUGGCUGUGCUGACUCCGGCGAAUUCCCCAAAUGUGUGAAUCUCAACUGUUUUAGGGCAGUGGUGGCCUAAUGGGGGGCAGAUAAGGAAGCGGCACUGU